CUGUCACAAUAUUAUUUCAACAGUUGUGAAAGGGAAUUUACCUGCACAAAAAUGCAGGGAUGUAACAUAUAGAAGUUACAAAACUUUUGAUAUUGAUGAAUUUACAAAUGAUUUACAGAAAAUAAAGAUUUCAGAAAAUUGUACUGAGAAAGAUUUAAAUAGUAUAUAUGAUGAUUAUGAAGAAGAUUUUAAAAACAUAUUAAAUAAACAUGCACCUGUAAAAUCUAGGGGUCAAAGAAAUAAACCACUUCCAUGUAUGAAUAAAGAACUGAGAGGGGCCAUAUAGAGAAAACAAAUGCUUUAUUCACAAUAAACUAAAAAUCGGAGUGACAAAAAUUGGGAGAAAUUUAGAAAACAAAGAAAUUUGGUAACAAAGGUAAAGAGAAAAUAAAUAAAAGUAUACUUUUUAGAACGUUGCUCUGGUGGGUCAAAAUCUUGCGAUUUUUGGAAAACAGUCAAACCAUUUUUCUCAAAAGAGGGGAACUUUGGAGAGCAAAAAAUUUUAUUAUGUGAAAAUGACAAAAUUGUAAAUUGUUCAAAUGAAGUUUUAAAUGUUUUUAAUAUUUUUUUCUCCACAGUAGCAGACAAAAUUGGAGCAGAUGUGGUAUAUGACCCCUCAAAUCACC
This 626-nucleotide long non-coding RNA is filed under the name Mytilus galloprovincialis (Mediterranean mussel). The record is from RNAcentral. Lineage: Eukaryota; Metazoa; Mollusca; Bivalvia; Mytilida; Mytilidae.